This 369-nucleotide long non-coding RNA is filed under the name Homo sapiens (human). RNAcentral describes it as "HSALNT0309199". The record is from RNAcentral. Lineage: Eukaryota; Metazoa; Chordata; Mammalia; Primates; Hominidae.
UUUAAAAUUUAAGGAUUUCACUGAUGAAAUAAUAGUACAUUCUUAAUGAAUUUUUUAUGCUAAAACAGAUUAGAGGCUUCUUACUGAAAGGGCAAAUAGAUGCAAGAGUUCUCUGCCUUCUGUGUUGUUUGGGCGAAUUGUCAGGAGUAAAAGAAGAGUUUAGUGUCAAAGGGGUAUAGCUUCUGGAUGGUCAUAUAAAUUGAACAGAGGAUAAGUGGAGCCCUUUUUUCAUCUCUUCCAAAAUAUGAAACAUUGCACUGAUCUCGGUGGAAAUAAAUGCCAAAGAGAUGAGAAGAUGCUUGUUUGUUUCCUGUCUGGACUGAAGUAGGACACGGAGGUUUGGGCAACAGUACCUGUACUCGGGCCUCG